This 774-nucleotide ribosomal RNA is filed under the name uncultured Neocallimastigales. RNAcentral describes it as "partial large subunit ribosomal RNA". It matches the Rfam family "Eukaryotic large subunit ribosomal RNA", at positions 23 to 619 of the family's 3401-position model. Lineage: Eukaryota; Fungi; Neocallimastigomycota; Neocallimastigomycetes; Neocallimastigales. The record is from RNAcentral.
AGAGAGAGACAUGCGCGCAUAUCAAUAAGCGGAGGAAAAGAAACUAACAAGGAUUCCCUUAGUAGCGGCGAGUGAAGCGGGAAGAGCUCAAAUUUGAAAUCUUCAAGGUUUUACCUUGACGAAUUGUAGUUUAAAGAAGUGUUUUCUGCUGAAGUUUUGGUAAAAGUUCUUUGGAAUAGGACAUCAUAGAGGGUGAGAAUCCCGUAUUUGACCAUUAUUUUCAGCCUUUGUGAUACACUUUCAAAGAGUCGGAUUGUUUGGGAAUGCAGUCCAAAAUGGGUGGUAAAUUUCAUCUAAAGCUAAAUAUUGGCGAGAGACCGAUAGCGAACAAGUACCGUGAGGGAAAGAUGAAAAGAACUUUGAAAAGAGAGUUAAACAGUACGUGAAAUUGUCAAAAGGGAAGCGUUUGACACCAGUGUUGUUUUCUCGAAAAUCAAUUAAAAAUGGCUCGAUUUUGUAUUGCUGAGACCUUAAAAGCUCACUGUACAUUUUUCGUGUCUUUCUUAAUGCACUUUUCGUUUAACAAGUCAACAUCAGUUUCUUUUGUUGUAAAAGGGUCAUUGGAAGGUGGCUUUCUUUUCGGAGAAAGUGUUUAUAGCCUUUGGCCUCUGCAAUCGGAGAGACUGAGGUCUGCAGCGUAGACUCUUCGGGGUUAGAUACAUUUGUGCUGAGUUAUAGCUUUUUAUAGACAACUUGUUGACUAUAACUAGUCUUGUAGCUUACUCGCUUAUGCUAUUUUACCUACGCUUAGGAUGUUGAAGAUGUAGCACAUCA